UGGGGAAUAUUGGACAAUGGGGGCAACCCUGAUCCAGCGAUGCCGCGUGGGUGAAGAAGGCCUUCGGGUUGUAAAGCCCUUUAGGUUGGGAAGAAGUGUGUAUUCAGAUAAUGGGUAUACAUUGACGGUACCGACAGAAUAAGCACCGGCAAACUCUGUGCCAGCAGCCGCGGUAAUACAGAGGGUGCGAGCGUUAAUCGGAGUUACUGGGCGUAAAGGGCGCGUAGGCGGUGAGAUGUGUGUGAUGUGAAAGCCCUGGGCUUAACCUGGGAAGUGCAUCGCAAACUAUCUGACUGGAGUACAAGAGAGGGUGGCGGAAUUUCCGGUGUAGCGGUGAAAUGCGUAGAGAUCGGAAGGAACGUCAAUGGCGAAGGCAGCCACCUGGCUUGAUACUGACGCUGAGGCGCGAAAGCGUGGGGAGCGAACAGG
This 429-nucleotide ribosomal RNA is filed under the name uncultured bacterium. RNAcentral describes it as "bacterial SSU rRNA". It matches the Rfam family "Bacterial small subunit ribosomal RNA", at positions 355 to 776 of the family's 1533-position model. The record is from RNAcentral.